RNAcentral lists this ribosomal RNA (482 nucleotides) under uncultured bacterium. RNAcentral's name for it is "partial 16S ribosomal RNA". It matches the Rfam family "Bacterial small subunit ribosomal RNA", at positions 30 to 507 of the family's 1533-position model. The record is from RNAcentral.
AUUGAACGCUGGCGGCAUGCCUUACACAUGCAAAUCGAACGGUAACGGGCCUUCGGGUGCCGACGAGUGGCGAACGGGUGAGUAAUACAUCGGAACGUGCCCGAUCGUGGGGGAUAACGAGGCGAAAGCUUUGCUAAUACCGCAUACGAUCUACGGAUGAAAGCAGGGGACCGCAAGGCCUUGCGCGGACGGAGCGGCCGAUGGCAGAUUAGGUAGUUGGUGGGAUAAAAGCUUACCAAGCCGACGAUCUGUAGCUGGUCUGAGAGGAUGAUCAGCCACACUGGGACUGAGACACGGCCCAGACUCCUGCGGGAGGCAGCAGUGGGGAAUUUUGGACAAUGGGCGCAAGCCUGAUCCAGCCAUGCCGCGUGCAGGAUGAAGGCCUUCGGGUUGUAAACUGAUUUUGUACGGAAAGAAAAGCCUUCUUUUAAUACAGGAGGGUCAUGACGGUACCGUAAGAAUAAGCACCGGCUAACUACGUG